Molecule: ribosomal RNA, 528 nt
Filed under: uncultured bacterium
Lineage: Bacteria
Description: partial 16S ribosomal RNA
Rfam family: Bacterial small subunit ribosomal RNA
Source: RNAcentral
UGGGGAAUUUUGGACAAUGGGCGAAAGCCUGAUCCAGCAAUGCCGCGUGUGUGAAGAAGGCCUUCGGGUUGUAAAGCACUUUUGUCCGGAAAGAAAUCCUCUGGGUUAAUACCUCGGGGGGAUGACGGUACCGGAAGAAUAAGCACCGGCUAACUACGUGCCAGCAGCCGCGGUAAUACGUAGGGUGCAAGCGUUAAUCGGAAUUACUGGGCGUAAAGCGUGCGCAGGCGGUUUUUGUAAGACGGAUGUGAAAUCCCCGGGCUUAACCUGGGAACUGCAUUCGUGACUGCAAGGCUAGAGUAUGGCAGAGGGGGGUAGAAUUCCACGUGUAGCAGUGAAAUGCGUAGAGAUGUGGAGGAAUACCGAUGGCGAAGGCAGCCCCCUGGGCCAAUACUGACGCUCAUGCACGAAAGCGUGGGGAGCAAACAGGAUUAGAUACCCUGGUAGUCCACGCCCUAAAACGAUGUCAACUAGUUGUUGGGGAUUCAUUUCCUUAGUAACGUAGCUAACGCGUGAAGUUGACCGCCU